GGGCGAAUGGUCUAGGGGUAUGAUACUCCCUUCGCAUUUCCUGAAGUCCCUUCAGGUUCAGUGAUUGGGAGGGGUCCGGGGUUCAAUUCCCCGUUCGUCCA
Non-coding RNA from Xylaria nigripes, 101 nucleotides. The record is from the annotation of a GenBank genome assembly. Lineage: Eukaryota; Fungi; Ascomycota; Sordariomycetes; Xylariales; Xylariaceae.